CUCCUCUUCCAGAGGUACCAAGGGACACCUUGGGGGGUCUCUUGAGUCCAUCGCGCUCCCUGCAUGUCUUCACCCAGAGCGUCUGCCUGCGGGCUGUCUGUAGCCCCUCGCUGGAAAUGGGGCGGCAGAACAAACCCCGGGAUUCUCUCUGUCAGCUGGUGAAUUCCAUAAGGAGGGAAAUGCUGCAAGAGAAGGAGAAACCAGUUCAUUAUUUUGCCAGAUGAAGUGGGAGCCUGAAAGCAUCUUUGGGUCUUAUACACACACACACACCCCCCCCACACAUACCACACACACACACACCACACACACACCCCCACACACACCCCCCACACACACACCCCCACCACACACACACCACACACACCCCCACACACACACCACACACACACCACCCCACACACACCACCACACACCACCACACACACCCACCACACACACACCCACCACACACACACACCACACCACACACACCCACGCCACACACUACACACCACACACACACACCCCACACACUACACACCACACACACACACCCCACACACUACACACCACACACACCCCCCACAUACCACACACACACCCCACAUACCACACACACACCCCACAUACCACACACACCACACACAUACCACACACACCACACACACACCCCCCGCAUACCACACACACACACCACACACACACCACACACACCACACACCACACACACCCCCACCACACAUACACACCACACACACCCCCACCACACAUACACACCAGCACACCACACAUACACACCACACACACCACACACACACCACACACAUACACACCACACACACACCCCCCACACACACACCACACCACACACACACUACACACACCACACACACCAACACACACCACAUACCACACACACUAUACACACCACACACACAUCACACACCCACACACCAACAUACACCCCACACACACCCCACACACACACCACACGCCACACACACACCACACACACACCAUACACACCCCCCACACACACCAUACACACCCCCCACACACCCCACACACACCCCACACACCACAUACCACACACACCACAUACACACACGACACACACAUCACACACACACCAACAUAACCCCACACACACCACACGCCACACACACACCACACACACACCACACCACACAAACACCACACCACACACACACCACACACACCCCACACACCACACACACCCCCACCACACACACACCCACCACACACCCACCACACACCACACCCACACACACCACACCACACCACACACACACACCACACCACACACACACCCCCACACACACCCCC
This 1326-nucleotide long non-coding RNA is filed under the name Pongo abelii (Sumatran orangutan). RNAcentral describes it as "lncRNA (ENSPPYG00000037586.1)". Lineage: Eukaryota; Metazoa; Chordata; Mammalia; Primates; Hominidae. The record is from RNAcentral.